GCGGAUGUGGCGGAACUGGUAGACGCGCAGCGUUGAGGUCGCUGUGGGGUAACUCCCGUGGAGGUUCGAGUCCUCUCAUCCGCACCA
RNAcentral lists this transfer RNA (87 nucleotides) under Ponticoccus sp. SC6-9. RNAcentral's name for it is "tRNA-Leu". It matches the Rfam family "tRNA". From Rfam's summary of the family: Transfer RNA (tRNA) molecules are approximately 80 nucleotides in length. RNAcentral also lists the same sequence under 34 other names. The record is from RNAcentral. Lineage: Bacteria; Pseudomonadati; Pseudomonadota; Alphaproteobacteria; Rhodobacterales; Roseobacteraceae.